UACGGAGGAUGCGAGCGUUAUCCGGAUUUAUUGGGUUUAAAGGGUGCGUAGGCGGACGCUUAAGUCAGCGGUAAAAUUGCGGGGCUCAACCCGGGCCGGCCGUUGAAACUGGGGAUCUUGAGUGGGCGAGAAGUAUGCGGAAUGCGUGGUGUAGCGGUGAAAUGCAUAGAUAUCACGCAGAACUCCGAUUGCGAAGGCAGCAUACCGGCGCCCAACUGACGCUGAAGCACGAAAGCGUGGGUAUCGAACAGG
Molecule: ribosomal RNA, 252 nt
Filed under: uncultured Bacteroidales bacterium
Lineage: Bacteria; Pseudomonadati; Bacteroidota; Bacteroidia; Bacteroidales
Description: partial 16S ribosomal RNA
Rfam family: Bacterial small subunit ribosomal RNA
Source: RNAcentral